GCACACGUGGUGGAAUUGGUAGACAUGCUACUUUGAGGGGGUAGUGCUCGCAAGGGCGUAGGGGUUCAAAUCCCCUCGUGUGUACAA
RNAcentral lists this transfer RNA (87 nucleotides) under Indolivaga capnocytophagoides. RNAcentral describes it as "Dysgonomonas capnocytophagoides tRNA-Leu". It matches the Rfam family "tRNA". From Rfam's summary of the family: Transfer RNA (tRNA) molecules are approximately 80 nucleotides in length. Their secondary structure includes four short double-helical elements and three loops (D, anti-codon, and T loops). Lineage: Bacteria; Pseudomonadati; Bacteroidota; Bacteroidia; Bacteroidales; Dysgonomonadaceae. The record is from RNAcentral.